CUCCUGACCUCAGGUGAUCCACCUAAUCUUGGCCUUCCGAAGUGCCGGGAUUACAGGCGUGAGCCAUCGCUCCGGGCCCCAGGUUUGGAUUCUUUACCACACAGCAGGCAUGGGCCGACUCACUGUCUGGGGCCCGCCUAGCCCAGCCCAGCACCUGUCUUUGUGAAGUCUUGGUGCGCAGCCAUACCCAUUCACUUACGUCAUCUGUGGCUGACUGUUGCCACCGUAACUACGACAGAGAGCCUGAGAAGCUGGAAGCAUUUCCUGUCUGGCCCUGUAGGGGAAGCUUGCAGCCUGGCUUAGGAGUACGCUGCCCAGGGAGGAUGUGUAAUGUGAACCGCAGACGCCAUCUUACGUGUUCUAGUCGCCACGUUAAAAAAGGUGAAUGCACAAAAACUUGUGGUACAGCCGUACAUUGGAAACCUACACAGCAACAAAGAGAUGGAAUGACUGAUACAGCAACAUGGCUGAAUUGCAGAAACACUGCGCUGAGUGAAAGGAACGAGACACAAAAUAAGACAUUACUGUAUGAUCCUGUUUAUAUGAACUCUAGGAGACAAAGUCUCCAGUGGUAGAAAGCAGAUAAGUGGUUGCCUGGGGCUGGAGAUGUGGUUUAGGAUGACUGGGAAAGAGCACAAGGAAACUUUUAGUGAUGCAGAUAUUCUUGAUCAUCGUAGUAAUAACUUGGCUGUACACAUUUGUCAAUGCUCAUUAAACUGUACACUUAAAAUGUG
Macaca mulatta (Rhesus monkey) is the source of this 734-nucleotide non-coding RNA. The record is from RefSeq and is a predicted model, not a curated record. Lineage: Eukaryota; Metazoa; Chordata; Mammalia; Primates; Cercopithecidae.